This 484-nucleotide ribosomal RNA is filed under the name uncultured bacterium. RNAcentral describes it as "partial 16S ribosomal RNA". It matches the Rfam family "Bacterial small subunit ribosomal RNA", at positions 30 to 507 of the family's 1533-position model. The record is from RNAcentral.
AUUGAACGCUGGCGGCAGGCCUAACACAUGCCAGUCGAGCGGAUGAAGGGAGCUUGCUCCUGGAUUCAGCGUCGGACGGGUGAGUAAUGCCUAGGAAUCUGCCUGGUAGUGGGGGAUAACGUCCUGAAACGGGCGCUAAUACCGCAUACGUCCUGAGGGAGAAAGUGGGGGAUCUUCGGACCUCACGCUAUCAGAUGAGCCUAGGUCGGAUUAGCUAGUUGGUGGGGUAAAGGCCUACCAAGGCGACGAUCCGUAACUGGUCUGAGAGGAUGAUCAGUCACACUGGAACUGAGACACGGUCCAGACUCCUACGGGAGGCAGCAGUGGGGAAUAUUGGACAAUGGGCGAAAGCCUGAUCCAGCCAUGCCGCGUGUGUGAAGAAGGUCUUCGGAUUGUAAAGCACUUUAAGUUGGGAGGAAGGGCAGUAAGUUAAUACCUUGCUGUUUUGACGUUACCAACAGAAUAAGCACCGGCUAACUUCGUG